This 449-nucleotide ribosomal RNA is filed under the name uncultured bacterium. Its description in RNAcentral is "partial 16S ribosomal RNA". It matches the Rfam family "Bacterial small subunit ribosomal RNA", at positions 29 to 523 of the family's 1533-position model. The record is from RNAcentral.
AACGAACGCUGGCGGCAGGCUUAACACAUGCAAGUCGAGCGAGACCUUCGGGUCUAGCGGCGGACGGGUGAGUAACGCGUGGGAACGUGCCCUUCUCUACGGAAUAGCCCCGGGAAACUGGGAGUAAUACCGUAUACGCCCUUUGGGGGAUAGAUUUAUCGGAGAAGGAUCGGCCCGCGUUGGAUUAGGUAGUUGGUGGGGUAAUGGCCCACCAAGCCGACAAUCCAUAGCUGGUUUGAGAGGAUGAUCAGCCACACUGGGACUGAGACACGGCCCAGACUCCUACGGGAGGCAGCAGUGGGGAAUCUUAGACAAUGGGGGCAACCCUGAUCUAGCCAUGCCGCGUGAGUGAUGAAGGCCUUAGGGUUGUAAAGCUCUUUCAGCUGGGAAGAUAAUGACGGUACCAGCAGAAGAAGCCCCGGCUAACUCCGUGCCAGCCGCCGCGGUAA